RNAcentral lists this ribosomal RNA (497 nucleotides) under uncultured bacterium. Its description in RNAcentral is "partial 16S ribosomal RNA". It matches the Rfam family "Bacterial small subunit ribosomal RNA", at positions 28 to 507 of the family's 1533-position model. The record is from RNAcentral.
GAUGAACGCUGGCGGCGUGCCUAAUACAUGCAAGUCGAGCGAACAGACGAGGAGCUUGCUCCUCUGACGUUAGCGGCGGACGGGUGAGUAACACGUGGAUAACCUACCUAUAAGACUGGGAUAACUUCGGGAAACCGGAGCUAAUACCGGAUAAUAUAUUGAACCGCAUGGUUCAAUAGUGAAAGACGGUUUUGCUGUCACUUAUAGAUGGAUCCGCGCCGCAUUAGCUAGUUGGUAAGGUAACGGCUUACCAAGGCAACGAUGCGUAGCCGACCUGAGAGGGUGAUCGGCCACACUGGAACUGAGACACGGUCCAGACUCCUACGGGAGGCAGCAGUAGGGAAUCUUCCGCAAUGGGCGAAAGCCUGACGGAGCAACGCCGCGUGAGUGAUGAAGGUCUUCGGAUCGUAAAACUCUGUUAUUAGGGAAGAACAAAUGUGUAAGUAACUAUGCACGUCUCGACGGUACCUAAUCAGAAAGCCACGGCUAACUACGUG